Molecule: ribosomal RNA, 492 nt
Filed under: uncultured bacterium
Lineage: Bacteria
Description: partial 16S ribosomal RNA
Rfam family: Bacterial small subunit ribosomal RNA
Source: RNAcentral
AUUGAACGCUGGCGGCAUGCUUUACACAUGCAAGUCGAACGGUAACAGGCCUUCGGGUGCUGAUGAGUGGCGCACGGGGGCGUAAUGCAUCGGAACGUACCCAGAGGUGGGGGAUAACGCAGCGAAAGCUGUGCUAAUACCGCAUGUGAUCUGAGGAUGAAAGCGGGGGACCGAGCAGCAAUGUUUGGCCUCGCGCCUUUGGAGCGGCCGAUGUCGGAUUAGCUAGUUGGUGGGGUAAAGGCCUACCAAGGCGACGAUCCGUAGCUGGUCUGAGAGGACGACCAGCCACACUGGGACUGAGACACGGCCCAGACUCCUACGGGAGGCAGCAGUGGGGAAUUUUGGACAAUGGGCGCAAGCCUGAUCCAGCAAUGCCGCGUGCGGGAAGAAGGCCUUCGGGUUGUAAACCGCUUUUGGCAGGAACGAAACGGUGUCCGCUAAUACCGGGCGCUAAUGACGGUACCUGCAGAAUAAGCACCGGCUAACUACGUG